This 109-nucleotide transfer RNA is filed under the name Tinamus guttatus (white-throated tinamou). It matches the Rfam family "tRNA". From Rfam's summary of the family: Transfer RNA (tRNA) molecules are approximately 80 nucleotides in length. The record is from Rfam by way of RNAcentral. Lineage: Eukaryota; Metazoa; Chordata; Aves; Tinamiformes; Tinamidae.
GUCAGGAUGGCCGAGUGGUCUAAGGCGCCAGACUCAAGGAUCUGCCCUUCUCUCUCCUGGGAAUUCUGGUCUCCGUAUGGAGGCGUGGGUUCAAAUCCCACUUCUGACA